AGAGUAUUCUUCCGUCCAACAAAAUGUGUCAAUUUUGACUAAAUUUGAAUGUAUCUAUACAUUAAGUCAUGUUUAAAUACAUUCAAAUUUUGACAAACUUGAGACAUUUUUUGUUGGAUGGAGGGAGUAUGUU
Molecule: non-coding RNA, 133 nt
Organism: Brachypodium distachyon (stiff brome)
Lineage: Eukaryota; Viridiplantae; Streptophyta; Magnoliopsida; Poales; Poaceae
Source: Rfam